RNAcentral lists this ribosomal RNA (365 nucleotides) under uncultured bacterium. RNAcentral describes it as "bacterial SSU rRNA". It matches the Rfam family "Bacterial small subunit ribosomal RNA", at positions 30 to 407 of the family's 1533-position model. The record is from RNAcentral.
AUUGAACGCUGGCGGCAGGCCUAACACAUGCAAGUCGAGCGGGGUUUUCGGACCUAGCGGCGGACGGGUGAGUAAUGCGUAGGAAGCUACCCGAUAGAGGGGGAUACCAGUUGGAAACGACUGUUAAUACCGCAUAAUGUCUACGGACCAAAGUGUGGGACCUUCGGGCCACAUGCUAUCGGAUGCGCCUACGGGGGAUUAGCUAGUUGGUGGGGUAAUGGCUCACCAAGGCGACGAUCCCUAGCUGGUUUGAGAGGAUGAUCAGCCACACUGGAACUGAGACACGGUCCAGACUCCUACGGGAGGCAGCAGUGGGGAAUAUUGGACAAUGGGCGCAAGCCUGAUCCAGCCAUGCCGCGUGUGUG